AGCAGCCGCGGUAAUUCCAGCUCCAAUAGCGUAUAUUAAAGUUGCUGCAGUUAAAAAGCUCGUAGUUGAAUUUCGGGACUAAUAUGUCGGUCGUGCCUCGGUACGUACUGGUUUAUUGGUUUCUCCUUUCUGAAGAACCAUGAUGUCAUUUAUUUGGUGUCGUGGGGAAUCAGGACUGUUACUUUGAAAAAAUUAGAGUGUUUAAAGCAGGCUCACGCUUGAAUACAUUAGCAUGGAAUAAUGAAAUAGGACGUUUGAUUCUAUUUUGUUGGUUUCUAGGAUCGACGUAAUGAUUAAUAGGGAUAGUUGGGGGCAUUAGUAUUCAAUUGUCAGAGGUGAAAUUCUUGGAUUUAUUGAAGACUAACUACUGCGAAAGCAUUUGCCAAGGAUGUUUUCAUUAAUCAAGAGCGAAAGUUAGGGGAUCGAAGACGAUCAGAUACCGUCGUAGUCUUAACCAUAAACUAUGCCGACUAGGGAUCGGAUGAUGUUUAAUUUUUAAU
Molecule: ribosomal RNA, 500 nt
Filed under: uncultured Glomus
Lineage: Eukaryota; Fungi; Glomeromycota; Glomeromycetes; Glomerales; Glomeraceae
Description: SSU rRNA
Rfam family: Eukaryotic small subunit ribosomal RNA
Source: RNAcentral